This 253-nucleotide ribosomal RNA is filed under the name uncultured bacterium. Its description in RNAcentral is "partial 16S ribosomal RNA". It matches the Rfam family "Bacterial small subunit ribosomal RNA", at positions 524 to 776 of the family's 1533-position model. The record is from RNAcentral.
UACGGAGGAUGCAAGCGUUAUCCGGAAUGAUUGGGCGUAAAGCGUCCGCAGGUGGUUGCUCAAGUCUGCUGUCAAAGAGUCUGGCUCAACCAGAUAAAGGCAGUGGAAACUGAUCGACUAGAGUGUGGUAGGGGCAGAGGGAAUUCCUGGUGUAGCGGUGAAAUGCGUAGAGAUCAGGAAGAACACCGGUGGCGAAAGCGCUCUGCUGGACCGCAACUGACACUGAGGGACGAAAGCUAGGGGAGCGAAUGGG